UAAUACCAGCCCCUCGAGUGGUGGGGAUGAUUAUUGGGCCUAAAGCGUCCGUAGCCUGCCGUGUAAGUUUCCCGUUAAAUCCAGCGUCUUAAGCGUUGGACCGCGGGAAAUACUGUACGGCUAGAGAGUGGGAGAGGUCAGCGGUAUUCUGGGGGUAGGGGCGAAAUCCUUUGAUCCCCGGAGGACCACCAGUGGCGAAGGCUGCUGUCUAGAACACGUCUGACGGUCAGGGACGAAAGCUGGGGUAGCGAACCGGAUUAGAUACCCGGGUAGUCCCAGCCGUAAACGAUGCAUGCUAGGUGUUGGGUUGGCCACGAGCCACCCCAGUGCCGCAGGGAAGCCGUUAAGCAUGCCGCCUGGGAAGUACGAUCGCAAGGUUG
RNAcentral lists this ribosomal RNA (380 nucleotides) under uncultured archaeon. Its description in RNAcentral is "bacterial SSU rRNA". It matches the Rfam family "Archaeal small subunit ribosomal RNA", at positions 471 to 851 of the family's 1478-position model. The record is from RNAcentral.